ACUCCUACGGGAGGCAGCAGUCGAGAAUCUUUCGCAAUGCCCGAAAGGGUGACGAAGCGACGCCGCGUGCGGGAGGAAGGCCUUCGGGUUGUAAACCGCUGUCGGGAGUUAAGAAAUGCAAGGAUGUUAAUAGCGUUCUUGCUUGACUAAGGCUCCGAGAG
RNAcentral lists this ribosomal RNA (161 nucleotides) under uncultured Planctomycetales bacterium. RNAcentral's name for it is "partial 16S ribosomal RNA". It matches the Rfam family "Bacterial small subunit ribosomal RNA", at positions 335 to 487 of the family's 1533-position model. The record is from RNAcentral. Lineage: Bacteria; Pseudomonadati; Planctomycetota; Planctomycetia; Planctomycetales.